This 26288-nucleotide long non-coding RNA is filed under the name Ananas comosus (pineapple). Its description in RNAcentral is "long non-coding RNA (ACOM_LNC024483)". The record is from RNAcentral. Lineage: Eukaryota; Viridiplantae; Streptophyta; Magnoliopsida; Poales; Bromeliaceae.
CUGUAGAAGAUCUUGCAGUUGAACCUUGUUAGGAUUCGUCUAUAUUGGGACUUAUUUAAAAUAUUCCUAAUUCACAUAAAGUGAUACUCAAAGUUUAGAGACUGAAUCGUAAUCUUACUGAAACUUUCUGGUAUUAAAUUUCAUCAAAAUAAGAUUUGACUCAAAUUUUUUAAGCUUGUAGUGCAAUUCAAAAGAUGUCUUAAAAUGGAAAAGUUAGAGAGUGAAAAAUUUAUGAAUUUUGCAAACUUGACUCAGGGAACGUUUGGUUCUGGCAUAAAGCGAAUCAAAAAAUGAUUUUCAGUAUAAAAAAUAUUUUUUCGUUUGUUUGAUUUGAUAUAAAAAUAUUUUUUCAUAAAAAAAUAUUUUUACAGAUUUGGAAAAAAUUGAAAAUUCUGUUUUUUUUGCUGUUUUCGACAGAAAACACAAAAACUCAAGCUCAGUAAAUUUUUCAUUUAUAUUUUUUUUACUACAAAACAAAAUAAAUGUGAAAUUUGUUUCUUCCAACCAAAUAAAUAUUAAUAAAAAAUAAUUUUGUUUUUACAAAUUAAAUACUAUAAAUAUAAAUUUUUUAUCAAAAAAUUUGGUAUAAAAAAAUUAUUUCUUUUUUAGGCUCCCAAUUCCAUCGUAGUUGUUGAUUUGAAUUGAAACGGUGCUGUUUGGAUACACGUGGCAAUAUAAUUACCGUGGAGCCUAGUGUACGCGUGUGCAGGACCAGUGAUCGGAUCCCAACCCAAACUGUGUGUGACUGACUCACUAUAUAUAUAUAUAUAUAUAUAUAAACUCAUUCANAAAUGAUUUUCAGUAUAAAAAAUAUUUUUUCGUUUGUUUGAUUUGAUAUAAAAAUAUUUUUUCAUAAAAAAAUAUUUUUACAGAUUUGGAAAAAAUUGAAAAUUCUGUUUUUUUUGCUGUUUUCGACAGAAAACACAAAAACUCAAGCUCAGUAAAUUUUUCAUUUAUAUUUUUUUUACUACAAAACAAAAUAAAUGUGAAAUUUGUUUCUUCCAACCAAAUAAAUAUUAAUAAAAAAUAAUUUUGUUUUUACAAAUUAAAUACUAUAAAUAUAAAUUUUUUAUCAAAAAAUUUGGUAUAAAAAAAUUAUUUCUUUUUUAGGCUCCCAAUUCCAUCGUAGUUGUUGAUUUGAAUUGAAACGGUGCUGUUUGGAUACACGUGGAAAAAUGGCGGCCACGAGCUCUCUCUUCUCUCUAUCCUUCGCUCCUUCCCGAAGGCGCUCGAUACCCCUCUCUCGUUCGGCGAAUCCCUCUUCCGCCCCUUCCGACCUCUCCUCGAAGCCUCAACUAAUCGAGCUCGAAUUUCUCGGAGUACGUCGAAUUCAUCCUAAAUAUAUUCCAUUCCAUUCCAUUCCAUUCCAUUCCAUUCGAUCUUAUAUAUGCCCUAAACACACACUUACACAGCAUUAAUUAAUGCUCUCGAAACUUUGAGCAGCAUUUCUUUUUCUUGUUUUUUCUUUUUUUUUUUUUUUUUUAGAGAUGUUGUAGCAGUAAUCUUACAUUUCAUAUCAUCUUUUGGUAGCUGAAUCAAAUUCUUACAUCGUCCUGAAAAUUUUAUAAGAUUUUAUUUAGAUUACUGCGUUGCGUUUAGUUCAUUCCGCAUGUAAAAAAUUAUUCCAAAGGGCGGAGGAUGAGUAUUUUACUUUACUGAUUCUUUUUAUCUUAUAAAAAAGGGGCAAUUUCAUUCGUACCCCUGAAAAGUUCAAAAUUAUCGUAGAUGCCCUUAUAUAAUUUGAAAUAUCAAAAUUGCUCCUACAAAUAUUUACUUUGUCUCAAAAAUACCCUCAACUCAUUUUAAUCUUAGUUAUACCAUGAUAUAAUAAAGGUUAAGAAUAAAAUUAUCCAUUUUGCCCCUAUCAAUUAAUAAUAAUCGCUUAAUUGGAUAAUUAACUUAAAGAAAUAAUUAACUAAUGUUAUAAACUUUAGACUUACCUAUUUCUUUUAAAAAAUUUUUUACCUGGUGCAUGUAAAUAUACGGGGAGUUGUCAACAUUAACAACAAAAAAAAAAAAAAGAAGAAAAGGAAAAAAAAAAAAACUGGGGAAAAAUGGCGGCCACGUAGCUCCUCUCUCUCUCUCCUAGUCCCUUCCGCUCCUUCCGAAGGCGCUCGAUACCCUCCUCUCCGUUCGCGCGAAAAUCCUCCUUCCGCCACCUUACCGACCUCUUCCCUCCAGCCUAACUAAUCGAGCUCGAAUUUCUCGGAUACGUCGAAUCAUCCUAAUAUAAUUUUCCAUUCAUUCAUUCCAUAUCCAUCUUAUAUAUGCCACAAAACACCACUUCACAGGCAUUAAUCAAUGCUCUCGAAACUUGUCCAAAUGCCCACGGCUCACACCUUUGAGAGUUUCUUUUUUCUUUUUUAUUUUUUUUUAGAGAUGUUGUACAGUAAUCUUCAUUUCAAUAUCAUCUUUUGGUAGCUGAAUCAACAUUCUUCCACCAUCAGUCCUGAAAAUGUUUUAAGAUUUUUAUUUAGAUUACUGCGUUGCGUUUAGUUCAUUCAGCCAAUGUAAAAAUAUUCCAAAGGGACGGAGGAUGAGUAUUUACUUACUGAUUCUUUUUUUACUUAUAAAAAAAGGGCCAAUUUCAUUAGUACCCCUGAAAAGUUCAAAAUAUCCGUAGAUGCCCUUAUACUAAUUUGAAAUAUCAAAAUUGGCCCUACAAAUAUUUUCCACUUUGUCUCGAAAAAGCCCUCCCCAACAUCAUUUAAUCUUAGUCUAUCUGAUGAUGUAAUAAAGGUUCAGAAUAAACAUUGUCCACAUUGUUGCCCCUGAAACGCUUGAGGCGGCAAUAAUCCGUCGGUCAUUUUUAAAAAAUUUUCUUUAUCCAUUCAGAUUUCCAAAUAUUGUAAUCAAUUAAUAAAGAAAUUCCAAAUUAAGAGGCUUAAUUCGCUAAUAAUAAUUAACUAUUAAAUGAAUUUAAAUGCUAGUCUCAACUGAAAAUUAGUCCAAACGGUAUUAAAACUUAAUUGGAAUAUUAUCUCUUAAAUUCGUGAAAAUUUUUCAUUAUCUACAAAUUUUUUCAAUUUAAUUAUUUAAAACAAUUAUUGCGUUCAUGUAAAAUCCGUUGAUGUAUAAGCAAUUUAGUUUGUCCUUUCUGAAUAUAACUAAUUUUUCAUUUGAGGCGAUUAUAUACUAAUGGCUCUUAGUUGUAAUGUAUUAUAAGUCAACCAAUUUCUCUAUUUAACGUAGUCAAAUAAAAAAAUUUAUUACUUUACAAUCGAUGUAGCAUAUAAACUGAUCAGAAUCAAAAACGUCCCUUGUUUAGACCCUGACGUACUCGUCGGGUCCAAACCAGAUCACAGAAAGAUAGAUCAGGACUAGAAUUACCAGACGAUGUGAGAUUCUAGAGGUGGCUCCUAUGGGUUCAAGAGGUGGCUCCUACCAAAUCCGUUGGUGUGGCACUUUGUUCCGCAUAGCACUUAGCUCUCAUACUUCCGACUGGUAUUCGGCUCUAAUACCAAAUGUAACAAUCCAACCCGCUAGCAAUAAUAACUCGUUGGGCCCAAACCACCGGCCCAAAAUGCUUAAGCCCAUUUAUUAUUAUUAUUAGGGUGGCGUCCUCUUAUAAACCCAAUGACAACCCAUUCUCAUCCAAUGUGGGACUAUUGGGAUGUCACAAUUGGAAACAGUAAUGGUAUAUGUGCGGUAAUCUAUUAUUAUAGUACUGUAUUAAAUUAUACACAACAAUGCGGCAUUAGUAGUAAUCUUAUUCACAGGAAUCAGAUUAUCAAUUGUGUAGAAAUAAUUAGGAAUGCUGCAUAGCGCUAACCAAACGCACCCUAAGGGUAAAUUGCACCACUAUUCCUCAAAUUUUUAUCCAAGAUUCAUUUUAUUCCUCGAAGUUCCAAAUUUGAUGCCAGAAAUCCUAAACUCUUAAAAAAGUUUUACUCAAAGGCUGUUUGGUUGCAUGUAUUUGCAAUUGCGCUACAAUUGUGCGACUGCAUGCACAUUCAAAUCCGACAUUUGUUUUGAUGCGUUUGAAUUCAACUGCUGUAGUUGCAACUAUAUGAGACGUCUAAACAGCAACAGUUGGAACUACGCCCAAUUGGUUGUAGUUCCAACUAACAACACUUGAAGAGAGUAAUUUUAGACAAAGAUAAGCUUAUCUCCCUAAUAACCUUUUUAAUUAUUUUUUUUUCUUUUCUAUUUAGGGGGAUAAUCUCAUCACCCCAUAUAUAAAAUUUUUAAAUACACUUGUCAACUGCAUGCAAUCAAAAAAGCAUUUAUAACUGUAGCACUUUCUAUCACAUCCAGUCAAACAAGAUGCAUGUAAUUAUAAUUGCUUCAUUUCCAACUGUACGCAUUUCCAACUACGUUGAUUUAUAAUUACGUCAAACCAAAUGACCCCUUAGUUUCGUGCACAGCUACUAUUAUGGGGCAAACGAUUGUUUACACCCUGUGCAUCUGUAUAUCUAUGUAUAUAUAUGGUGCAUUUAUCAACCAUUUAAUUUAUUCCAUCUUGUAUUUCAAUCAUAUCACCUAUUUAUUUAUAGUUUUUUGGUUCUUAAUUUUGAAAUUUGACCAUUCAAUGAAUGUGUGAGAUGAAUGAAGAACCGGAAGAUUCAUUGUCUAUGGACAAAUAAAUUAGGUGUAGACAAUAAUUUUACCCUAGGGUAAAGACCAAAAAUAAAUAUUGUUGAAAAUACAGGGGCUAAAAUGAAAUAUUUUUUGAGAAGUUCAGAAUUACUAAAUGUUGAUUUUAAACUUCCAAGGGCAAAAUGUAAGUUGAGUUGAAGUUCAGGCAUUGGUAGUGCAAUUUACCCUCACUUAAAAUAUUAGUCAAAGUUCGAGCAGUAAUCAUAUUGAAAUAGAAAUCAAAGUUCCUGUUUAUUGAAACAAAUUGAAGAAAUCAAAGUUUGUAUUGAUUGAAACAAAUUCAAGCUCCGUGACCAAAAUGAAAUUUCACCAAAACAUGGGUUAGCAAUGUUGUAAAUUACCCGUCAAUUUUAUAUCUAAUAUGAGGAAUCCAUUGUUUAUUUGCAGCCGAAGGCCGGAGGUGAUGGUUCUUCUCCUGUGGACAGGGUGACUGCGAUCAGCGGAGAGAAGCUCCUCCGCAACAUCAUGUUGGAGAACAAGAUCGAGCUCUAUGCCGCAUAUGUAAGCAUAGCUACCCGCAUAACUACUAUCCUAUGAUGCUUCAUUUCCAUAAUGUGAAGAAAAUGAGAUAUUUGGAUGGUAGGGGAAAGUGAUGAAUUGUGGCGGUAGGGGAAGCUGCGGCACGUGCAUUGUGGAGGUAUGCUUGUUGAUUUUACGAACCAUCUGUGAAAUAGGGUACCAAAAUGUUAUCUUUACAAGCCAUGCAUUGAUAAAGCAUACUUCACAAGAUAAUAAAAUGCUACAAUUUAUCACCUAAUGAUUUGUAAAAUGGUUGCACUUGAGUCCUUACAGAAACAGAAUCAAACUCCUCUCUGUGCUAUACCAUAGGGGGUCUCUUUUGAAAUUUGCCCAAUUAUUGUCCUUUUCAUUUAUGUUAUUUUUGUGAUUUGAAGUGAUUAUGAAAUCUUGUAUAGGACGCAUGUUAUAAGGCAAAUUCAUGCUUAGGAAGCCCAUGAGUAGAGUUAAAGUACUGAUUGGGAAAGAAAGUGUUUUUCCCCCUCACUUGAGGGUUAUUUGAUUAGCAUUAUCAGAUUACCAUAUAUUUAUAACGGGGAAUCAAUGGUUCCUCUGAAAUCUAACACACAACAAAUAUUGAUACUCAGGGCAGCCCGGAUUAUCCCCAUUUUCUGUUACCACCACCUUCUUUGUCAUCGUCACAUCGCCACUUUCGUAGCCGUCUGGUUGACAUGAGUUGGCCAAAAUAAACGGACAAUGACUACCAAUAAACCAUACACAAACGAUUGGUUUUGGACAUUCAGCGAGGUUUCUAUGAAAAUUUGGUUUGAUUUCCUUUCCUUUGAAAACAAUCAGUUUACAACUGAAUGUAACCAGAAUAUUUGCAUUGCUUAUGCAGUUUGUAUGUUUUUUUCCUUCCAAAUUUGAAUGUACAAGCAAUACCUGAACCCCUCAAAAACUGUCAAGUGCUAGGCCAUUAGUACUAGCUAGCUUAUUGAGCACCUGUGUCAGUUGACACUUAACUUCUUGAUUCAUUUACAUUAAUGUAUUACUUUCUAGGAGAAAUUUAAUAUGAUGAGAAUAUAAAUGGUACUAAUGAAGGCACCCUGCGCGUUACGGCGGGUCGAUUAUGCAAAAACAAAUAAAUAAAUGAAGCUAAAGAAAGAAGUAACAACAAAAAUAAAAAAGAGUUAAAAAAUAAAAAAGAAUAAAAAUAAAAGAAACAGAAGAAGAAACAGUAGGUACUACUGUAAAAACAUAAGAAUAAAAGUAUAAGAAGGAUAAAAAAAGAAUAAGAGCAAACCAUAAGAAUAAUAAAUUAUAUUUUUACGAGUAGUAAAAGUUGAUGACUAAAAUGUCGUAUGCCUCAUAGUUUGAGCCAGAAAUUGGAAUGCAUUAAAGUUCGAUGACUAAAGUGUCAUGCAUCUUAUAGUUUGAGGACCAAAAGCAUAAUUUACCCUUUUUAUAUUUUAUUGUUGGAAUCAAACGAAGACAGAGUUAAGCAUUGAUUGGUUUUGUCCAAUUAGUAGUUACAUUUGAGGAAAGAAUCUGUUAAACUAUCUAAUAAAUUUUAGAAUGCUUAAUUAUUAAAAUUAAAAGUCGCCUAACCAUUUUUUGGAUAUUCCGAAAGAUUUUUAAAUGUGAAAUUGAUCGCUCAUCAGACUAUAAAUAUUGCAUUGAAUUUUGAUAUUAAAAUUAAAGUAAAAACAUAUAGAACUUUUCUGAAUAUGAACCAUGUUGGAUUGACUAUCCAACCUUUCAAAAUUUUGUUUUUACUAUUAACCUUUCAAUAUGUUAGAUUUAAGUCAGUCAAUAGUACUUUGACUCAAAAUUUGAAUGCGUUGUUUAGCUUUACAGAUUUUAUUUAGUAUACUUCAUACAAUUCUCGCAACUAAAUUUAUUAAAAUAAGAAAUUAACUUAAACUCUAUCUAUCUCUCUUUUAUGUAUUGUUGUACAAUCUAUAUAUACGUGAUCAAUAUUAUAAAACCAAAAUUUAUAUUUAAUACAUGCAAUCUCAAGUAUUUAAAAGUUAUGCAUAAAAAAUUUACAUUUUUUAAAUUUUUAUAAUGAGAGAGAGGAGAAUUAGAUUGAAUUAAAGAAAGGGCCUAAUAUAUAAAAAAUCGGUGGAGAGAGGGAUAUAAGAGAAAAAUUAAAAUGAAAAAAAGAUUGGGCCCUACCCCUAUCCCCAUCCACUCGCCACAUGGAUCUAAAACUAAGAAUGAGAGAGAAGAGAAAAAUUGAGAUGAAAAACAACAACAGAAAAGGGAUGGUCCAUGUGGAUCUAAGAUGUAGAAUUUAUUAUAUUAUAUUCUGUGUCCAAAUUAAUGGAGAGAGAGAGAGAGAGAAAGGAAAAAUUAAGAUGAAAAAAAAUGGGCUGAGCCCCACCUCCACCCCCACCCUCACCUAUUUGCCACAUGAAUUUAAAACUGAGAAUUAAAGAGAGAGAGAGAAGAAAAAAUUAAGAUGAAAAACAACAAUAAAAAAGGGCUAAGCCCCAUCCGUACGCCACCCACUCGCCACGUGGAUCUAGAACUAAAAAUUCAUUAUAUUAUUAUAUCCUUUGUUCAAAUCAUUGGAGAGAGAGAAAACGAAAAUUAAGAUGAAAAACAAAACAAAAAGUUAUGUGUAAAAAGUUAAUACAUACAAUCUAAAUUAUUUAAAAGUUAUGUUUAAAAAAUUUACAUAUCUUAAAUUUUUAUAAUGAGAGAGGAGAAUUAGAUUGGAUUUAAAAAAAAGGGCGCAAUACUCUAUAAUAAAUCAGUGGAGAGAGGGAAAAGCAAAAUUAAGAUGAAAAAAAGGGUUGGGCCCCACCCCAUCUCUAUCCCCAUCCCCACCUACUUGCCGCGUGGAUCUAAAAUUGAGAAUCUGAGACUCCAGGUAGUCCUCUAUAUAAGAUAUAAUAGGGUAAAACUCUUAAUCCGGCUAUAGCAUUUUGGAGUGGUUAGGCUCAAGAGGUUAAAAGAGUUAAACGUACUAGAGGUAGAGUAGCUCUAGGAUAGGUGACCUCUGGAAAGUGGUGCGUCACAGUUGGUAUUAAAGCCAAUUACUAGUCAGAAGUGUGAGAUGAGUUUUGACCGAGCCAGGUUAUACAGUGGAGAGAGCGAUGCUCUCAUGCUGAUGACUGUUGUAGGUAGAGUAGCGCUCCCCACAAGGUCAGUUAGGACUAGCGAGACGAGUCUCACAUCACCUGAUACCUAUGAGUCUAGGCCUGACAGGAACGUUAGGGCUUAAAGAGGGGAAGAAGGUGAGAUCCCAGUUAGUUCUAUAUAUAAGAUAUAAUAGAGCUAAAACUCUUAACUCGGCUAUAGAAAUUUGAGCGGCGGUUGGGCCCAAGAGGUUAAGAGAGUUAAGCGUGCUAGAGCUAGAGUAUCUCUAAGAUGGGUGACCUCAUGAGAAGUGGUGCGUCACAGUGGAGAAAGAGAACCCCACCUCCACCCACUUGUCACAUGAAUCUAAAAUUGAGAAUUCAUUAUAUUAUAUCCUAAUCAAUAUCAGUGGAGAGAGAGAAGAGGGAACGGAAAUUAAGAUGAAAAAAAAAUAGGCUGAGCCCCACCCCCACCCCUACCCACAUCCCCACUCGCUCACCAUGUGAAUCUAAAACUGAGAAUGAUAGAGAGAAGAAAAAAAUUAAAAUGAAAAAAAAACAAAAAAAUGGUUGCACCCUAACCCCAGCCCACCCUACCCUCUCGCCAUGUGGAUUUAAAACCGAGAAUUCAUUAUAUUAUAUUCCCUGUCCAAACCAUUGGAGAGAGAGAAGAGGAAAAUUAAGAUGAAAAAUAAAAAAAAGUUAUGUAAAAAAUUAUUUAAAAAUUUGUAAAAAAUUAAUAUAUGAAAACUAAAUUAUUUCAAAGUUAUGUUUAAAAAAUUUACAUAUGUUUAUAAUGAGAGAAAAGAAUUAAAUUAGAUUAAAAAAUAGCCUAAUCCCUUUGUAACAAAUUAGUGGAGAGAGAGAAGUGGAGAAUUACGAUGAAAAAAAGAGUCGCACUCACUCGCCACGUGGAUCUAAAACUAAGAAUGAGAGAGAGAUGACAAAAGUUAAGAUGAAAAAUAAAAACCAAAAAAGAGCUGGGUCCCACCCUACCCCUGCCUUCAUCUACUUGUCACAUGGAUCUAAAAUUGAGAAUUCAUUAUAUUAUAUUCUCUAUCUAAAUCAGCGGAGAGCGAGAGGAGGAAAGUUAAGACGAAGAAAAAAAGGGCCCAGCCCCAGCCGUACCCCGACCCAGUUGUCACGUGGAUUUAAAACUGAGAAUGAGAGAGAGGAGAAAAAUUACGAUGAAAAAUAAGAACAAAAAAAAGGCUGCCCCCACUCCUGUCCCCCCCAACUCGUCAUGUGGAUUUAAAAUUGAGAAUUCAUUAUACUAUAUCCUCUAUUCAAAUCAUUGGAGAGAGAGAGAGAGGAGAAAAAUUAAGAUGAAAAACAAAAGCAAAAAAAAAAAGGCUAGACCCAACCCCCACCGAGGGGGGGCCCCACCACCACCCACUCGCCACGUGAAUCUAAAACUAAAAUGAGAGAGAGAAGAGGAAAAUUACGAUAAAAAGCAAAAACAAAAAAAGGGCUGGAUCCCACCCUCACCUACUUGCCACGUAGAUUUAAAAUUGAGAAUUCAUUAUAUUAUAUAGAUGCUUUUUGAAGAUUGAGCAAACCAACAAUAAAGUAGUUCCUUCAAAUGAUACGUGGAACAUCAGCUUAGGGUGUCAAUUGAACUAGAAAUUCAGACUUGUAAAUUUUUCUGUUUACUUUCCUCUUUUGGGGUGAUUACUAAAAUAACAUGAUAUAAAGAUUUAUGACUGGUAUUGAUGAUUUGUUAGUUUGUGACUUGCCUCAUUGGCUUAUGAUUUAGGCAAUUGAGAUAGAGUGUUUGUUUGAAUCUUUUCCUACUUGUUCUUAAAUUGACGGUCUAAAUCUUUUUGGCUCUCUAUAUAAAUGUAUAGAAGAGUUCAUUCUGCCUAAAAAUGGCUCAUUGGCUUGAUUGCCUUGUCAAUCUUGAUUCGUUGAAGUAGAUUAGAUAAUGAAUUGAACUCAAACUUCAUACACCGGGAAUCUGGAUUUGUCAAGUCUGAAUUUAUUAUGAAAGCUAGAGCUUACCUGAGAAAUAAAGUCACAAAGGCAGGAACUGGAUCAUAAACUAUGUUUUAGGGAUAUACAAGGAUACAGAAUUUGUUGGAAGCAACUUAAAUCAGCAGUGAUGCCACUAACCAAGUUACAGGAGGACAUAAUGUACCCAAGAAGAGCAAUAGGGGAUACUCAACUUGGGAGAUGGGAAGUUCUGUCCAUAAUCAGAUGAUCAGGUCAUCUUUUGAUUUAAUCAUGGACGACCGAUAAUAAAUAAACUAAGACUUGUUAUUGAGUAAUGUCCAUAAUCAGAUGAUCAGGUCAUCUUUUGAUUUAAUUAUGGACGACUGAUAAUAAAUAAACUAAGACUAGUUAUUGAGUAUCUCUGUGCUAUUGGCAUAGUUUUAGAUUAUACGUAAAUUAACAUGGUUUUAGAUAAACAUAAACUAAGACACUUUGAAUGGAAAAAAGUUAUGGAAUUUCCAUGACAUGUUAUUGAAUAAACUGUGCCUAGGCCACUACAACUUCAGCUUGGCAUUUACAUGUAUAAUGCCACAAUGUCAUACUGGCCAGAGUGGGGCUUUGAUGCAUUUAUUUUGCAAAUCUAUGACCUUACUUGUGAACUAGGAUGCUUCACUGCUUUCAUUUGUUAGCUCUAGCAGUUUCUUAAAAUCCUAACUUCAGUUCUUUUCUUGCAUUGGUGCUUUCCCUAGUAGUAGGCUAUGCCCAGGCUUCUGAAUUUAUCUAGGUUGAACUAGAACCAAGUUUCGUGAGACAAAAUUAACUGCUCUGCUUGAUCAUUGAGUUCGAUGUGGAAAGUCUGCCUUACUAUCUCAAGCCCCGUAAACUCUUGAAUGAGCUAUUGAGGUGACUAGAAAAGAGUUGUUGCUUCUACAUCUUUCAUACCAUCAGUUAUUGAUUGAAAUGAACUAUCACAUCACAAGAAUGCAGCAACAAUUGUAGCUCCAUCGUUAGUCUGUCGAACUUACCGCAUUCAUUUUCUGAAAGCUAUAGCCUAACAAUCUCUAUUUCUGCUCGAAGUCAGCUUAUUGCCUCCAUCUAUUCUGUCCCAAAAGUUUACUAGUUGGACAUUUUGAAUGAAUUUGAAGUGUACUAUUGUCAAUCUUGCAGAUUAUUGAUGGCAAGGAACUCUUGAAUGAGCGAACAAACACUGAACUUCGGUACCUGAAAAAGGCAUGUUGUUCUAUUUAUCAACUUUAAACUAGUUUGUGCUGCUCAACGCCAAAUUUUAGAAUGGCACAUGAUAUUACUGUGUUAAAGACGUAUAAAGAUUACUGUGUUAGUAUCUAAGAGUUCAGUUUUUUUGUUUUCUAUGGACACCCUCAGCUAACUGUAAGUUUGAUCACUUAUCCUUCUAUUUUAUGCACUUGCCGUUGGAAUUCAUUGAAGUUUCAGUUUGUUGGUUACGCAACAACACUUAAUGAAGGUGUCAUCAGUCCUUGUUGGAAAAUCUACAGAGAUAGAGGGAAGGUGUCAAAUUUGAAAAAACAGAAAAAGUUUUAAGGGAAACGAUAGGAAAAAAAAAAGAAAAGAAAAAGAAAAAAAGGAACUUGAAGCAGAGAGGGUCUCAUGAAAAAAAAUGAUGUGGAGUUGAAGCAUGCAGUAUUUUACCUUAACUACAUAAUGUUUACAUGGAGAUUAGCUUUUCGGUUAUCACCUUUGCAACUUUGUUUUUAAUUGCUAAUAAAGGGUGAAUACCUCUAAUGGUUCUUGAACUUUCCAAAGGACUCGUUUUGGUCCCUGUUCUUCCAAAGUGGAUGAGUGAUACUGAAAUUUUGGUAAGUGUUCCAAGUGAGCAAUAUGUGUCAUUUUUCAUCAUUGGCAGAGAUGCUGAAAUGACUGCCGCACCGUUCUCAAUGUCGCUCAAGGUGAUGUGGCUGCCUUGUCAGCACUUCCAUGACUCAAACUUAAGCUGAUAUGACUACCCUGUCAGCUGACAUGGCUACCGUUCAGCUUUGUGAUCACUCAAAUGCUUCUGAACACUCAUCGAAAUUAGCAUUGCGGUUUGCUUAUGGAAAGAUUGGGGUUCAUUAGUGCAGUAGAAGAUCACAUGCAUUGGAACCCAUGGUUAUGGACCGGGGGUUCGUUAGUGCAGUUUACUCAUAAAAUCAAUAUAUCUACUGUUAACUUUAUUUUCUUCUUAUUCUUUGACAAUUACAGAAACCCGAGUCUUGGAGACUUGCCUGUCAAACUAUCGUAGGCAAUAAAGAAAACUCUGGCAAGGUAUGCUUAGAUUUGUUUUUUUUUCUAUUAUUCUGCAGAAUUUGCAAUUGCUUUCCAUUUGCAAUUAUCUAACGAUUUUGACGACCAACUUUGUCAGUGCAUUUGAUGCUGCUUCUAUGCAUGAAUUAUACAUUUUUUCGGUAUAUUUCACUUCUUCAAUCUUAAUUUAACGAACUCGGUCCUAUUUUCUUCUCUCUUGAUAAUAGUUUGUGAACCUACCAGUUAUGCUAAUGAGUGGCAUAUCGACUUACCGUUACUACUAAUUUUUUUUGAACUUUAUAGCUUUUUCAAAAUGACUCUUUGAACUUCGAAUUUUGCAACUGGACCUCCAAAACUUUAUUAAAUAGUUCAAUUUGCUAUUCUCCUUAAGUAUAGUUAUUAAUUGAACAGCCAUGCUUGCGUCAUGCAUAUUUUACAGAUGAUGAUCUUAUAAAACUCCAAAAUAAUAAAAUGGAAAAAAAAAAAAAAUCUACUUCUUGCCUUCCAUGAAUGAAAGAAAAGCAUCAAGAAUAUUGAAGAAUGGGAUGAAUCCUCCUAUAUUUAUUGCUCUUUUCAAGCUUCAGAAUGGUAAUAAGAGAUUUUGCUAUGAUUUAAAGCUUCACAAGAUCACGUGAAGGAUAUUUGUUUAGAAGGGCUAUGUUGGUAUUACUUCGGUUGAGAAGGGCGUUUUGAACAGCUCAAUAAAGUUAAAGGGGGCUAUUUGCGCAAGUUUUGCAAGUUCAAUGGGUGUUAGUACAGUUUCCCCUUUUCUUUUUUCUUUAGUAGCAUAUGUUUUUGAGAAUAACAGUUGUUUCACCUUAUUUUAACGUGGUAUCGGAGCCUCUCAACUUUUCUCUCAUUUAAUUCAAGCGCAUGUCUCGGGCUUAUCAAAAAGCUUGAUGUUACAUACGAGGUGGUUUUUGAAGAAUAAUGAUUGUUUCAAAUUUUUUACGAAAUUUUAAUGAAUAGAAUUUGUGUAUAAAAGGAUAGAAAAUUCUUAUAUUAUUUUCCUUCUUCGCAGGUAGUUGUCCAGCGAAUGCCCCAAUGGAAGAAAUGAUUUGUGCACCUUUGUUGAUUAUGGUUCAAAUCACUUUGCUAUAUUAUUCAUUGUAUUUGAAAUACACAAAUAUUAAACCCAUUUUGGUGUUCAAUAGUAUUUUUAUUUAUAUUGGAGUGUAGAAUGUGGGAGACAAAGAAAUAAGGUUCGCGACACACGGAUCUUUCAAAAUAAAGUUUAAAUGAAUGAUUAUUUUUAAUCCUAGUAAUUCGUAUAGUAAUUUUCGUUCGGCUUACAUCAUUGGCUCUCUUACAUCAUUGGCUCUGUUGGCUUAAAUGGGUCACUAUUCUGUCAUGUGACGGAAGGUCGUGUUGAGCGAGUCAUGUUCGAAAUGGCGUGAAGCUGGAAGGGCCGAGUUAUGUUCGAAGUGGUGUGAGGCUAGUUAGGCUGAGUCAUAAUCGAGACCCGUAGGUGUUGUAUCUAUGCACUUUAUGUGAAUUGAUUAUGUAUUUAUAACAACUCGAGCUUUUGGGAUUAAUGAUUAGCGUCACCAAUACGACAAGUUGGUAUCAGAGUCAAUUAUCAGCUAGAAGUGUGAGAUGAGUCUCGGCUUAGCUGGGUUAUACAGCAGGGAGAGCCGGGUUUCAUGCUGAUGACUGUUGUGAGUAGAGUGCGGCUUACUACAAGAUUGGCUAAGACUAGCGAGACGAGUCUGAGCCUGACGAGAACAUUAGGAGCGUGCUAGAGGUAGAGUAGCUCUAGGAUAGGUGACAUCUGAAAAGUAGUGCGUCUCCCAUCCUAGGACUAGAGUUAAGCGUAUUAGGACUAGAGUAGUUUUAGAAUGGAUGACCUCCUGGGAAGUGGGGCGACAUAAUUGGUAUCAGAGCUAGAGGUCACGGAUUCGAUUUUUAUAUGCUGCGAAUAUGUGCAGGUGUUCGAGGAGGGAUUGUUGGCUUAAAUGGACCAGCAUUCUGCCCUGUGGUGGGAGGUCAUGUUGGACCAAGUUAUGUUCGAAAUGACAUGAGGCUGGAAGGGCCGAGUUAUGUUUGAAGUGGCGUGAGGCUGUUUGGACCGAGUCACAAUCAAGACCCAUGACUGCUGUAUCUAUACGCUUUAAAUAAAUUAAUUGUGUAUUUCUAAUAGCUCAAGCUUUUGUGAUUAAUAAUUAGCACCAACAAUAAGACAAGGUCAAAUAAUUUAGAGCGAUUUGGGGAAAAAAGCUUUUCGGCUUACAUGUAUCCUCCAAUCCCAGUAAGCACAAAACUCACUUUGUAUAGUGGAUUCAAUUAUUCAUCUGAAAUGUAUUGGCUACUGUUAACGAGCGGAACAAAGGAAGCUGUGGACUCAUUUCAUAAAUGAGCCAAGCACGAGUUGACUCCUUAAAGUAUUGAGCUGAAAUACUCGGCUUGUGUUCAGCUUAUUUAUUAAUGAGCCGAACACGAACCGAACAUGAGCAGAAUAUGAGCCGGCUCACGAAUAAGAAGUUAAAAGAAUUAGAAAGGCUAUACAUAAGAAAUAAAUUUGUGAGAUCUUAUACAUUAUACUUUGAGUUAAAAUUUUACAAAUAUAUGAGUUUUUCUACAAUUGAGUUGGGUUUUAUGUUUAGACUAGAGUAAAAAUCAAAUAAUAAAAAAUUGUAUUUUAUAUAUAUAUAUAUAUAGAGAGAGAGAGAGAGAGAGAGAGUUGAGCUAGAAUACUAUCGGUAGUAAACUAGCCGUUUUACUACUGAUUUGUUUUCGAUGACAGAACUUCCAAAUUGACGAUCGACUCCGUUGAACAUGAUCUAUACCAUUUAAAGUGUUUAGAAAUCAAAUUUCAAAUCUUUUCGACAUCAUUUGCCUAAUGAUCAAGGGUUAAAAUUUGUAAUUUUAAUGGUCGAUAAGCGGCGUUUUCUCGUUUAACGGCGUAAAGAUACCAAAUCAAUUGAAUUUUUGUUAGAAAAUUUUUUAAACUAUUUAAAACAAGAUCUAUACUCUUGAUCUUGAUUACACGACUCCUAUCAUUAUUUUUUAAAGAGUAUUCAUUUCAGCCAUUCAUUUUUCUGUUCACUUGAUGGAUAAAAGAAUAAUAUUGAAAGUGCGUGAAAUUUGAUUUCUAGGUAGUUUAAAUGGUUUAGAUCAUAUUUAACGGAGCCGAUCGUCAAUUUGGAAGCUCUAUCACGAAAACAAUCGGUAGUAAACGGCCGUUUACCACCGAUAGUAUUCUAGCUCAACUCUCUCUCUCUCUCUCUCUCUCUCUCUCUCUCUCUCUCUCUCCUAUAUAUAUAUAUAUAUAGGGUCCGGCUACUAUCUAUUAAUAGGAUUGAGACUCUUGUCCUAUCAAGUCGAUUUGAAUGAUCGAACUUCAAAUUGAUAAUCGGCACCAUUGAAGUUGAUCUACACAAUUAGAAAUGUUUAGAAACCAAAUUUGUAAUAUUUAAAAAUCAUUAUCAAGUUCAUCUUAAGAGUUGAAAAAUGAACGGUCAUAAAUGAAUAACCUUCUUAAAUAGAGGUUAGACUUUCUCAGUUCGUAAUCAGAGUUAUCAAACAUUAUCUUAAUCAGUAUAAAAGAAUUUUCUAUCAAAAAUUCAAGCAAUUUGGAUGCUCUACACCGUUAAACAAGCAAACGGCAAUAUAGAUCGUCAAAAAUUGUCGAAUUUACACACUUUGAUCACCAUAGUAAACAUAUCAAAAUUUAUGAAAUUUAGUUUCUAGAUAUUUCAAAUACUCUAGAUCAACUUCAACGGCUCCGAUUCAUCGAUUCGGAAUCUCGAUCAUCAAGAACAAUUUGAUAGGACAAGUGCUCAUAUCCUAUUGAAUAGGAUAGUAGCAUUAGCCUAUAUUAUAUAUAUAUUAUAUAUAUAUAUAUAUAUAUAUAUAUAUAUAUUUAUAUAAGGUAUAUAUAUAUAUAUAUAUAGUGGUAGCUACUAUACUAUUGAUAGUACCAAGCCUUGGUACUAUUGAGUUUUCUACCGUUAGAUCUACUCUUUGAUCGUUUCACCCGUUAGAUUAUACUAUUAAACCAACCACCACUCACCCUAUGGAAACGCUAUCAUCCUAACGCACAUCUUUUUCAUCCAACGGCCGAAAAAUUAAUAGUACCAAGAGACUUGAUACUAUUGAUAGUAUAGUAACAUAAUUCUCUCUUCUCUAUAUAUAUAUAGAGAGAGAGAGGUCCGGCUGAGAUACUAUUGAUAGCACAGAGCAUUUGGUGCUAUCAAGUUUUCUGCCGUUAGAUUUACCUUUUUAUCAUUUUAUCCGUUCAUAACUAUUCAACUAACCACCCACUCAAACCUAGGGGACUCACAUCAUCCUAACCGAUAUCUUUAAUCCAAUGGCAGAAAACUUAAUAGCACUAAGUCAUUGAUGCUAUUUAAUAGUAUUUCAGCCUAGUUCUAUAUAUAUAUAUAUAUAUAUAUAUUAUAUAUAUAUAUAUAUGAUAUAUAUAUAGUUUCGCGCUACUAUGCUAUUAAUAGCACGAAGCACUUGGUGCACAAGAUUUUCCGCCGUUAGAUCUACCCUAUUGAUCAUUUUCAUCCGUUAGAUCAUACUAUUCAACCAACCACUCACUCAAGCCUAGGGGAUCCACAUCAUUCCUACUGUCGCUAUAUUAGGCAGCACACAGCAGCCCUUGUGCUCUAGUUCCUAACCGUCUAUCAAUUUUGAUGGAUAGUUAGGGUAAAGAGAAAAGAAAAAUUUGAGAGAAAUUUAAAAGAUGAGAAAUUGAGAAACCAAUUUCUCUCCAAUUUCUCUUCUCCCUUUCAUCCUAACCACCCAUCAAAUUUGUAAAGCGGUUAAGAACUUAGGAGCACAAAUUUGGUACUUGUAGAUUUUUGGCCUUUGAAUUAAGAGAUGUGCGGUUAGGAUGAUAUGGCCCCUAGGUUGAGUGGGUAGUUGGGUUGAAUAGUAUAAUCUAACGGAUGAAAAUGAUAAAAGGAUUAGAUCUAACGCGUAAAAAAUUUAUAAGCACCAAGUACUUUGUGCUUUUACAACACCAUAGCCGGACUCUCUCUCUCUCUCUCUCCUCUCUCUCUCUCUCUCUCUCUCUCUCUCUCUAUAUAUAUAUAUAUAUAUAUAGAAUUGAGCUAGAAUAUUUUUGGAGUUACCAAACUCCUUGAUGCUUCUAAGUUUCUAACCCUUAGAUCUAUUCCUUGACUACUAAUAGUGUUUGGAUCAAACACUAUUCCACCUACCACCACCUACCACCAUCAUCUCAAUCCUACCAUCAUCUCAAUCCUACAUCUCUCAAUCCAAUGGCUAAAAACUCAAAAGCACCACUCUUUUGAUGAUUUUGAGAGUAUUCUGGCUCAACUCUAUAUAUAUAUAUAUAUAUAUAUAUAUAUAAUUAUUUAUUUAUUGAGAUAAGCUUCUAUCCUUUUGAAAAUACGGGAGCCUCCGUACUUGUCAGUUAAUUUCAAUGAUAAGACAUUUGAUUCGAUGAUCGGCUCUUUAGACAUGAUCUACACUAUUAGAACUAUUCAGGAACCAAAAUUUCAUAAUUUUUUUGAUUUUGUUUGCCUAGUAAACGAGUAGCCUCAAAAUAAAUGGCUAAAAAUAAAAAUAUCAUAAAAAAUAAUGAUAAGAGACUCAAAUUUCAAAUUGGAAGUAUCGUUUUAGCAUGCUUUUGAUGUUAAAUAGAAAUCUUUAUUAAAAUUUAAUGUUAUUUGGACUUUUAUACACCGUUGAACUUACAAACAUGCCACAUUGGCCGUUAAAAUAGCCAUUUUUAAGAUUCUUUGGGCAUUUGGUAAAUGAUAUCAAAAUAUUAUAAAAAUUGAUUUCUAAAUAGUUUUAAUAGUAUAGAUCAUACUUAACGAAGCUGAUCGUCAAAUCGGAUGUGCCAUCAUUGAAAAAAACUUACAAGUGCGGAGGCUUCUGUACUUUUGAAAGUGCAAAAGACGUACUCUUAUUUAUUUAUGUAUAUAAAUAUAAAAUAUAUGUAUUCAAGCUGUUAUCGAGCAGAAUAAGAGCAAGCUGACACUAACUCAUGCUCGGCUUGUUUACUAAACGAGCGAUUUAACAUCAAGCUCAUUUGAGCCGAACACGAGUUAGCUCGCGAAUAGCAAGCUGGAUUACCACCCCUAGGCUAUUGCAAAUACUACUGUUAUUCAAUACUAGACUAAAUCGUCCGUGAAGAAGGUAUUUAUUUUCAUACAUAUGAUUUAAGUAUCAAUCACCCAAUAUAGGAAUUAGUUAUAGUUUAUGUUAUCCGAUAAUAUUAGUGUCUCUUUAGUAUUUUUUUUAUAGGAAUUAAUUUUUUAACAAUCGACCUUAUCAGACAGUAUGUUUAAGAAUUGUCGGAGUAUUUUAUUAUUAAAAUGAAAAAUUAUAUAUAUUUUUAUUUACUCUGCUAAAUGUUAUGGAGUUAUAGCUAUUCAUUCUCUAGCAUUCAUUGUAGAGUUAUAAGUAAAUUUAUAACUCAUCAUCUCUUAAAUCUUAAUUUCGUAAUCUAUGUAUAUUUAUACCUAUAAUUCCUAUAUUUUGAAUUUACAACUGAGUGGGAAGUAACAUGUGAAUUUACAUUUCUUGUAAUCUGUAGGCCCAUAGUGACUUCUAUUCAGACAAUAACUAUUUUUUCACCGACUGAGUGGGAAGUAACAUGUGAAUUUACAUUUCUUGUAAUCUGUAGGCCCAUAGUGACUUCUAUUCAGACAAUAACUAUUUUUUCACCCAUCGUUCCUAGUGUAAGUGGCAAAAAUUUUGGUGGUUAGUAUCCGAGGUUCCAAGUUCGAAUCUUAGUUGAUUGAUAUUUCUAGCUAAGUUUAUUUCUAAAAAAAAAAAGCGGGUAGCAAUUCAUCUAUUUGUGCAGUGUUAAUGAGGCCGCAUGAUGAGAAUCGAGCUUGAUCAACUCGAUUGAUAUUUUUUUCAUUGUUUGUAGCCCAACCUUUAUUUUUCUAUUCUUGCACCAAUGAUUUUAAGAAGAUUCAAAGAUGGAGGUUACACGGGAAUUUAAACAUUUGUGAAAGUCUAUAAGUAAUCGAAAUAUUUCACCAAAAUAAACUUCAUUAAGUUUUAUACAAUUUGCUCCCAAAAUAUUAUAACACUUCAUUUUUCCAAAAGAAAAGGGGUGCAUCUAGACCACUCUUGGUCCUCUACUUCCCGACGUAUGCCCUUGCCACGGUCAUGAGCCUCGCCAGCAAUGCUAGAAUCUAAAAAAUGAAAAAUCACAUGAGGUGAGAACUACAGAUAGUUUUCAAUGAAUGCAACCACCGAGACGGUGCUCUCGAUCCAAAAAAAGGCACUAGUAGAUAGUUGCAAUAAAUAACAUUUACUUCUACCAGUGAAAUGCAUAAAUUGAAAUAAAGCUACAAUGCCUCAUUAUUAUUCACAAUAUGCCACCAGUCACCACUUUACUCGAUGUAUCUUAUGCCCCUAACUGGUUCAUGCUUUUCAAUUACACUUUUCCUUCUAUAUACUAGCUAGGUAGUUUGAUUUCCUUUCUUAUCACAUCUCAUGGAUAGUUGAUUGCUCACACACCUCUUCCAAUUGGUAGUUUAGUAGGGUCAUUGUCUCCCCAACUCCCCCAAUAAUUCCUUAUAGGGAGUCGAUUGCUUGCACCUCUCCUUUUCCAUUUGACACUUCCGGAAGGUCAACUAUUUUACCGUUACACUCUAAGUUCAAGACUCUAGGAUUAAUACUCAUGGUUCAAUCUACACAACUUGUUCUCUCGUUCUUGUCUUACUUAGAGCUCUUUUGUCUUCAUGUUACCUCGGGUUUUGACCUAGCUUUAGAUGUUAUACGUGUUUAAUUUAUUUUUCUGGGUUCUCUUCAAUAUACAUGCAAAUGUCUAAUAUUUCAUCUUCAUACAAGAGGGAUCAAACCCCAUUUUUACUAGCAUGCACUAAAAUCCAUUUAGUUUCAUAAUAACUAUAAAAUAUGCUAAUAAAUCCAAGAAAAUGAUGGACAAAGGGGAGAUCAAAGCUUUUAGGUGAUAUGCUAAUAAAGCCUGCUAUCAUGCCUCUACUGUAUCAUCUGUGUCAACUAUUAUCUCUACAUGCAUCAAGUUAUAUGAAUAUAUGUUGACUAUUCAACAUGCACUUAACCCGACUAAAUAAGGUCCAUUCAAGCUUGAGCCUUACCUCGUGGGACGUCGAUCAAUCACACACAAACCCACGUCGGCGCUCAACAACUAGGCGAAACAAAUAAUCGCAUCCUCGUUAGGCUAUAUCUCUGGAGGGCCACGAUUUGUAGGAUUUGACUCUCAUAAGCUAAAGUGCUCAUUGAGCGCUCGUUGUGUUCAUUUUGGUUUCUUGCAACCUAUAAGCACAUAUCCCUACAUAUUAAGUCACAUUUGAACACAAUUAAAGGCUUUCAAGCUACAUUAGCAUUUUGUGGAACACCUUGUGUGCGCUAUUAUGAAUCAAGCUCUAUAUGUCUAAUUGCCUUGUCCAACUAAUGUCUCACUACAGUACCAUGCUCCCAAAAUAUGUUUUAGUCAAGAAACAUAAAUAAUAACAUUUAAAAGCCAUGCAUGUAUAAAAAGUCCAACUCCAAUCGCUAGAUUUUUUUUUACUUAUAUUCAAAAAUCAUCAUUUAAUAAGAAAUCUCUACUUUGACUAGGUUCAUCUCAUACAACUUAGAAUAGAUACCUUGUUAGGAACACAAAAGAGAAGAUAUAGGAGGAGAUCACAUGUUUCGAAGAUUUAAACCCAUCGAUUUUUUUAGAGAAAACUGUCGCCAACUCAAUCGGAGUUGUCGAGUCUACCAAACAACGACCCUACAAGAAGGUUCCUAACCCAUCAAUACCGUUUAAAAGCUCCAAUUAGAAGACUCUCAAAUCUAAACCGUAAAAAUCACAAUUAUUCAAAUUUUUCUAAAGCCACCGAAAUCACACUAUUUAAAGUGUAUGGAUAAAAGAGCUCACCUCUUCCAAGCUCUGUUUCCUAGACUAAGCCUUUUGAACCUAUGGUUGGAUUCUCCAAGAACUAUUACUCCUCUUAUCUUGCUCCAGCUCCAAGCUUGGUUGGGAUUGAGCCUUCAAAGUGAGGCUUUGAAGAAGAUCAAAUAGUGGAGACGGAAUGAGAGAUAAAGGUGGGAGAGAGGGAGAAAGGGAGAGAGUUCUUUCUUGUUCAAGAGAUAUGAGGGUGCGAGAGUGAGAGAGUGAUAUAAAUAGAGGCAACAAGAGGCUCUACUCAACAUAGCCUGCAUAUAGGUGAGUAUUAUUGUCACGCCCCGCCUCGAGACCGCUACCAAUUUGGUCCGGUUCGGGCGCGCCGGACGGACGCCGAACGGACAGCAUCUCCCCUGUCCGCCCAAGGCUCAACACAGGAUCAUGUACAAAGAAUUUGCCCAGGGAUAAUUCAAUACAUACACAAUCCAACAAGGAGAGAAGCACAAAGAGUGCAAUACAACAAGAGCAAGUAACAUAAGUAUACAUACAAGUGCAUAAGGAGAGAUACAUCUAGCUAUUACAUCACAUUCCACUUUUACAUCUUUGAUUACAUUUACAUUUUCAUCAUCACCCAAAAUGAAUACAUAAUCAUCUCACAUAUAUAUAAUGCUAGCUAUCCAAAAUACAUCAUGUCAUCUAUAACCAUGCACACGAGGGUGCUCUAGUACAAUAGGAAAGCUCUACUANUCAACUUAUCAUAUUAACUUGCCUAUUUUACUAUUUUUUCCAUUUAGAUUGCCGUCUUUUGAACUAUCGUGGUUUACGAGACACGAUAGUUAUCAUAGAGUCGGCCUGAGAGAGAGAGAGAUAUAUAUAUAUCUCUCUCUCUCUUAAUACAAUGAUAUGAUAGUUAUCAUACUUCAGGAAUCAUGAUAAUUAAAAAGCCGGCAACCUACUUUUCUACACGCCAAUCCUACUAUCGCAAAGGUAUCCCAACUCACCCACCAACCAAAUUAUCAUAUUAGAUUGCCCACCUUAUACUAUUAAACCAACCACCCACUCAACCCUAUGGAAACGCUAUCAUCCUAACCGCACAUCUUUUCAUCCAACGGCCGAAAAAUUAAUAGUACUAAGGACUUCAUACUAUUGAUAGUAUAGUAACAUAAUUCUCUCUCUCUCUAUAUAUAUAUAGAGAGAGAGAGAGUCCGGCUGAGAUACUAUUGAUAGCACAGAGCAUUUGGUGCUAUCAAGUUUUCUGCCGUUAGAUUUACCUUUUUUAUCAUUUUAUCCGUUCAAUUAUACUAUUCAACUAACCACCCACUCAACCCUAGGGGACUCACAUCAUCCUAACCGCAUAUCUUUUAAUCCAAGGGCAGAAAACUUAAUAGCACUAAGUCAUUGAUGCUGUUAAUAGUAUUCCAGCCUAGUUCUAUAUAUAUAUAUAUAUAUAUAUAUAUAUAUAUAUAUAUAUAUAUAUAUAUAUAUAUAUAUAUAGAGAGAGUNUAGCUAUUACAUCACAUUCCACUUUUACAUCUUUGAUUACAUUUACAUUUUCAUCAUCACCCAAAAUGAAUACAUAAUCAUCUCACAUAUAUAUAAUGCUAGCUAUCCAAAAUACAUCAUGUCAUCUAUAACCAUGCACACGAGGGUGUUCUAGUACAAUAGGAAAGGUUUACUAGCUAGCUAGGGCGCUACGCCCUUACCGCGAUCACCUGCCGGUCCGCUCUCGUGUGUACCUGUUAAACCAAUACGGCGCGGACAGUUGGCACACUGAGUUCAUAUACAUAUUCAGGAUUCGAAGCUCUGGAUCGGGAGCACGGAAAAUGCGCCAGGAGAUAUGAGCCGCGUCUGUUCGAAAAACGGGAUAACCGCAAGUGGUUAUGGGCGGUUCCCAACAGCAGUUCCAAUCGGCCGAACGUGGUCCUUCAAAUCCGGAGAAGAUGGCCGAUCGUGCAAUAACUAAACACAAGGGGAAAGUAUAUAAAUAAGCCUGUAGUACCCUGAAAAGGGGUCUCCGCCCCUUCGCACAAAAGACCACCUUUAUUUUCCCUGCAUUUUUUCGCUUCUGCCUAGGAGUAGUUUUAUACCUUAGCUUCCCUGGAGUCUGUCUGCCCUCCGGGCAUCACUUCAUUGUAAACACCUUGGAGUCUGUCUGCCCUCGGGGCAUCACUCCCUUGUACACCUUGGAGUCUGUCUACCCUCCGGGCAUCACUCCCUUCCUAUUAAUAGAAAGUCUUUUUCGGCUCCUCAGGCCGACCAGAUCUCGUUUUGUCCUAGCUAUUCGGCUCAUCUCUCAGCCGAAAUAUAGGCCCCACCUGUUCAUUCGGCUCAUCUUGCCGGAGUGAAUUUACUAAGGAGGUUUUUUGGACCCGACCGAUUUGAUCCCUCAUCGGUCAAAUCGCUUGAUCCGUUGUGGGCGCAAAUUUCGAGGGUCACUUCAGCAGCCAAUUUCCACCCCGACAUACUUCUCGAGGAGGGUCAAGGCACCAGGAAAUUUGGCUAUCAACAAAGUUUUGGCACGCCCGGUGGGAACGCACAUUUGAGGUAAAUUUGAAUUUGAUUAUGGCUGAUGACAACGCCAUGAAUCUCCGUAAUAGGGCCGUUCCUAGAAAUUCUGGGAGCGAACAGCCCGGUAAUUCGGAGAACGCUGUGGAGCGUCAAGCAGUUUUACCGACGGAGGGUGAAACUAGUGGUCAAUCUGGCCAACAGGAGCCUAGUUUGACCCAAGCACUUGGCCAGAUGACUAGGGUCCUACAGACUAUGGACCAAAAUAGUCAUGCAAGUACCGCAAGAUUGGACGCUGUUUUGGCCGCCAUCACGGCCUCUAAUGAAAACAUAGCCCGAAUAGGGCAAUUGUUAGCUCGAAACGAACAGCCGAUAGCAGGCCUUCAAGUGCCUGUGGUAACACCAGUAUUACAGAAUCCAGUGACACCGGUAGGUGGCCAGCCCCAAUACCAGGGGGCACCAUAUCAAGCGGUUUAUAGACCGGCUGUCAGUAAUGCCGGUCAACAGCCAGAAAUAGCUUGGGGCUUACCUCCACCCCCUCCAAUUGCAGCUUACCAGCCUCAAAAUGUAGAGGUUAGGGGGCAGCUCCCGAAUGCACAAGGGGUUAAUCCCCUAAGGCAAAAUAUUGGGAUUCAACAACCAUUGAACCAGUACCAGCGCAAGCCCCCUUGCCGGGGAUUAAUAAUGAAAUAUAUGCGCAAAUAGAAGAAGCGAUCCGAAACACUUUCGGAGUAGGCACAAUUCCGGCAAUGCGGCCUGUUUUUAGAUCGCCUUACCCUGUUAAUAUAGAUGUGGAACACCCAUAUCCGGCAAAUUGGAAGAUGCCGAAAUUUGACAAAUUUUCUGGAGAUGAGACCGAAAAUACGGUCGAACAUGUCGCUCGAUUUACAGCCCAAUGCCACGAAGCUGCGGCAGAUCCUUUUUUGAAAUUAAGAUUAUUUAAUACUUCAUUGACCAAGACAGCUUUCACUUGGUAUACGAGUUUACCUGCUAAUUCCGUCUGAGACUGGGACGAAUUAGAAGGUAAGUUUCAUGAGCAAUUUUAUAGAACUGAGCCUGAGUUGUCAGUUGCAGACUUGGCUCAAUUUAGACAAAAAACNNNNNNNNNNNNNNNNNNNNNNNNNNNNNNNNNNNNNNNNNNNNNNNNNNNNNNNNNNNNNNNNNNNNNNNNNNNNNNNNNNNNNNNNNNNNNNNNNNNNAACGAGUUAUUAUUGCUAGUGGGCUGGGUCGUUACACCGGGUCAAAGGUCGGGGAAUUUCGGCUCCAACACACACCAAUGGAUCUCUUCAACAAAGUCUUUUUUUUUUUUGAGAGAGAGAGAGAUAGGUAGCACGCUACUCGCUUCGUUUAUUUCAUUCAGAAAUAAACUUAGCUGAAAAUAUGAAUUAACUAGGAUUUGAACUUGGGUCUCGGGUACCAACCACCAAGCCCUUUGCCACUUGCUCUAGGGACGGUCGGUAUCUCUUCAACAAAGUCAAAGUAAUUAAUUUGCGUGUCCUAUACAAUCUCACGACCAAAUCUCCAACUGCCUGACACAAAAAAAAAAAAAAUAACACACAAUAUUUUAAAUUUCGGACACCAGGAACAAAUUUUAGGCAUCCAAGAUAUCGGAGGUCAUGAUUCCACUUCUGGAGAGAGAGAGAGAGAGAGAGCAUACAAGGCAAUAACCUUUUGAAAUAAAAUUCAAAUUCUAAACUUGGGCGCUCAAAACAUCUUUAACUUUGCCGAUCGUCAAAUACGAUGCCCCUUAUGAAAAAUAAACUUCUAGCAUGAAAGAUUUGGUGCUAUUAAUAAUACAGUGGCUCAAUUUAAUGUAUAAAAAACCAACUAAACCAACUUGCAAUAUGGAGAGAGCAGAGGGACUCUCUAUACAUUUUUACCGGUGAGAGUUAAAAAAAAAAAAGUAUUUUUAGGAAUAAUAAAUAUAUUAUCAAGCACGAAAUUUGGCGCAUUGUCAGGUUAAAGCGGGUGCUGAGUGCGGCAUUGGAGUAAUUAAACUAAUAAUACUAGUAAUUAAGAACUUAGUUUCCUGGAAAAGCAAUAACGAUAAUGAAAAAAAAAAGAAAGAUAAACUUCAAUUUGUCUCCAUAUAAUAUAAAUUAUAUUAAUGUUUCUGUGGUUCAAAAAAUUAUAUUUAAUUAUUCCAUAAUUUUAUUUUUAUUUUUAUCUAAAAAAUAUCCAAUCAAAUAACUAAUAAAGUAAAGUUUGUUGAUAAUUACAAAAAGAUCUCAACCCUUAAAUGUUUUAAAAUAGAUAGUGGAGAUGACUUUUAUUUAAGAGGGUGACUGAUUUUGUUGUCUUAGGUACCAUUCAUUUUUUUAACGAGGGCAAAAUACUUUCUCAUUUAUAAAGUUAGUAUCAAGGACUUUUUUUAUAAAUUUCUAUUAUCAUUUUCGUAAUGCCCCUUUAAUUAUAGAACAUUCCAUUCCAUUUUUGAAAAUUUCCAUCCACAUCCCAUCUUCGUCCGAAACCAUUUUUUCCUUUUUUUUUGUUGAGAGAGAAAUCCAUGUUCAUUGCUUAAUAACUAAUUUAUACUUAAAAUUUUUUAAGUGAUAGAUUAUUUUUUCUAUCUUCCUCUUCCAUCUUUUUAAAUUUCCUAUCCAUAGCAUUUCAUCUUCCUCCAUACCUAUGCCUUUUUUUUUUUU